GACGAACGCUGGCGGCGUGCUUAACACAUGCAAGUCGAGCGGUAAGGCCCUUUCGGGGGUACACGAGCGGCGAACGGGUGAGUAACACGUGGGUGACCUGCCCUCAGCUCUGGGAUAAGCCCGGGAAACUGGGUCUAAUACUGGAUAUUACUCUGCGGUGCAUGCCGUGGGGUGGAAAGCCUUGUGCGGCUGGGGAUGGGCCCGCGGCCUAUCAGCUUGUUGGUGGGGUGAUGGCCACCAAGGCGACGACGGGUAGCCGGCCUGAGAGGGCGACCGGCCACACUGGGACUGAGACACGGCCCAGACUCCUACGGGAGGCAGCAGUGGGGAAUCUUGCGCAAUGGGCGAAAGCCUGACGCAGCGACGCUGCGUGAGGGAUGACGGCCU
Molecule: ribosomal RNA, 387 nt
Filed under: uncultured bacterium
Lineage: Bacteria
Description: bacterial SSU rRNA
Rfam family: Bacterial small subunit ribosomal RNA
Source: RNAcentral